Molecule: non-coding RNA, 28 nt
Filed under: Rattus norvegicus (Norway rat)
Lineage: Eukaryota; Metazoa; Chordata; Mammalia; Rodentia; Muridae
Source: RNAcentral
UGAUAAGGUAUACAAGUGAAUAAAUAUA